Molecule: non-coding RNA, 314 nt
Organism: Phascolarctos cinereus (koala)
Lineage: Eukaryota; Metazoa; Chordata; Mammalia; Diprotodontia; Phascolarctidae
Source: RefSeq, a predicted model, not a curated record
UAGCCCUAUAUUGGACAAUGUUGAAGAAUACCUCCAAGAGAUGUAGAAGAAUUUUGCAGUAGGACCUAAGCAUCAAAGGAAUUUGGAAAAUUGCAUUGGACUGACUUAAUUUCAGCAAUAUUCAGGAUCCCAGUGGCCAAAGUUAUGUGGUCGAUCAUGAGCAUUAGCCAGUGUCCAAGUAUAGACACAGAAUUCAAGAAUUGCAACGGAUCUCAGAAGCCAUGUAGUCAAAUCUGUACUCCAGAGGAAUCUCCACUAUAACAUAUCUACGAAGGGGUCAUUCAGCCCUGCUUGAAGGCCUCCGAGGAGGAGGA